GCUUACACUGCUGUACUCCACAUUAGUAUUUCUGUCUAGAGAGGCUUUCCGGAGAGCCUGUCUGAGUGGGGCAUCAGGCACAAACCACAGCUGGAGACAAGUUAUCAACCUGCUAUGGCUGACGUUACCUCUUGGUGUAUUAUGGGGAGCCCUGCUGGUCUGUGUGUGGCUGUGGCUUCUGGAGGUCCCAGAUCCUCAGACUGUCCCUUACUACGGGCCUGCUGUGAUGUUGUUUGCCUUGGCAGGAGUGCAGGAGCUCUUAGCUGAGCCACUCUGGGUCCUGGCUCAGGCUCACAUGUUUGUGCGAUUGGAGGUGGUUGCUGAGAGCUUAGCGAUGAUCGCAAAGUGCAGUGUAACUGUGGUGCUGGUGGUGUCGGCCCGUGAAUGGGGCCUUUACAUCUUCUCUGCCGCUCAAUUGGUGUAUACAGGAUUCCUGGUGCUGUGUUAUUUUGUAUACUUCAUUCAUUUCUUGGGCUCUAAAGAGGCAGCCAAGAUGAAUUUUCCUCUGCUCUGUGUGGGAGAUCUGCUUCCCUGUAGAACUGAU
This is a long non-coding RNA of Monopterus albus (swamp eel), 544 nucleotides long. RefSeq lists it as uncharacterized. NCBI's taxonomy places the organism in Eukaryota, Metazoa, Chordata, Actinopteri, Synbranchiformes, Synbranchidae. The record is from RefSeq and is a predicted model, not a curated record. The transcript is spliced from 3 exons.